Y RNA from Callithrix jacchus (white-tufted-ear marmoset), 99 nucleotides. It matches the Rfam family "Y RNA". From Rfam's summary of the family: Y RNAs are components of the Ro ribonucleoprotein particle (Ro RNP), in association with Ro60 and La proteins. The Y RNAs and Ro60 and La proteins are well conserved, but the function of the Ro RNP is not known. NCBI's taxonomy places the organism in Eukaryota, Metazoa, Chordata, Mammalia, Primates, Cebidae. The record is from Ensembl.
GGCUGAUCUGAGUGUAGUGGUGUUUACAAUUAGUUGAUUACAACCAAUUACUUAUUUCUUUCCUUCUCCAUUCCCACUGCUUCAUUUGACUAACCUUAA